GAAAAUCUUGGAAUUUAAUGCAUUAAGGAAACUGCCAAAAAUGCCAAAUUCCGGAACUGCCUUUGCCUUAUGCGUGUAAAUAUAUCAUGUAACAACGAUAGCCGACUUUGUUGAUUGAAAUCUUUAAGUUCAGCAUCCUCAAAUUCAGCUGCAGAUUCUCUUCUUUUUCCAAUUCUGUAGUGUGUGUAAUGUACGUAAAAAAUCAGCCCAACUUUUGACUAAACCAGAUUUCAAUUCCAGCCUUUUAACUCCCUAAUUUCAGCCCCUAUAUAUAUAUAUAUAUAUAUAUAUAUAUAUUAUAAUUCAGCCAAAAGGCAGCCUCCAAUGUGUGUAAAUAUAUAUAAUAAUGGCUGACUCUUCCUUUUAAUUCCUCCAAGCUGUUCCACGUUUGUUUUCCUUCCACAACCCACUUGAGACUUUAUUUAUUUUUUUUUUGGCCGGUUAUCAACGUCAAUCUCGACCUUAGGCAUGCCAACUUCAACCACUUUGAAUUCCAUAGGUUGAUUAUGAAAUUGAUUGACUUUAUUAUCCCCAAUAGGCGCCCAACUUAGCUCGAAUCUUAGUCUCGAUCUCUUGUCAACAUUUGCCAAGUUAUUAAAAUUUUGGCGCCUAGCCGGCCGGAUCAUAUCAUUCUCUCUCUCUUCGAAAGGAUUCAACCUUGAAUCCAAACCUUGAAUGCCAAGAUUAUAACCCUUGCUUCCAAUCAAUUCAAGAAUAUGAUAUGGUCUGUCUCCCCUCAGAUGCAAGUUGGACCGCUUUUGAGCUCGAACCCUUCUCUUGCAUAUGUAAAUCCAAUCUCCUUUACAUGGAUAAAAAUGUGUAUUUUUUGACGGCUUCCUCUUGCCAUUUUGUGAUGAUCCAAUAAUGAUUUCAGCUAAUGAAUCACCGUUCAUUUUCCAUGAUUUACUUGGCCCAGUGAUUGAAGUAACGACAAUUCAAAUGAUGCAUAUUUCCGCACACAUGGUCUUUGUAGCUCAACUCCUUACAUUCAUGUUCCCUCCAUUGACUUUGAAAAUCCUUCGUCUUCUCAGAAAUCACAAAGUCAACCUCUGGUAAUAUAGUGAUGUCCAAAUGAUGCUGUCGUUGAUUAGUUUCAUCCAUACAUUGAUGAUUGAUUCUCGGGUCGUAAGGGAUUCCAAUAUGAUUAAUUUCUGGAAUCGAAUCUUCAUUGACUUGCAAAACAAAAUUACCAAAAAUAGGGAGGGAAAUGUUAGUGUUUGGCAACGCCUCCUCAACUCCACUCUCCUUUUCAUUUAAGCCCACUUUCGACUCUUUUUCCAUCUCCGAAGACUCUUCUUCAUUUUCACCCCGUAACUCCAAUUCCAUUUUUUCAUUUUCACUCUCGACUUUCUUUUCACUUCCCCAUGGCUUUACACCCUUUUUCUCACAAUCAACAACCUCACUAUUUUUACAUUUACUCCCUCGCUCCUUCAAAUGAUCAAUUUGAGAUUUAACCUUGUCACGAAGCCUUGUUACUUCUGAUUUAGAAUCCCGACUUGCCAACUCACUUGAUGUACUACACACAUGCUUCGCACUAGGUGUUUUCUUCUCCCUUGGAUACUCAACCCCAUAAGAUCUUCUAGGCAUCUCCCUAAAUUCCUGCUCACGCGAAUCACUCCUAUAAUAAUAAUUAGGCACGUAUCGUCUUCUCAUAAUAUGUCUCAACUCAUCCCAAGUUUCAAUACGCCUCUCACCAUACCUUUGCCUAGAUGUUGUCAACUCAUCCCACCAGAUUAAAGCAUAAUCCACAAAUGAGCUCACAACCAAUUUCAACUUUUUCUCCAUGGAAUAAUUAUACGCUCAAACAUUAAUUCAAUCUUCUCUUCCCACGCCACGUACGCCUCUGGAUCUUUCCUACCUUUAAAUUGCGGAAUUGUCAUUUUUAUACUUCUAUCUACACCAAAUCCAAAAUAACUUCUAUCCCGUUCUCCAAACGUAUCGCCUCUAUUUUUCAUACCCCGUAAAUCAACAUCAAACAAUGCAUCAUCAUCAAGACCACAACUAGACUCAUAUGCAUCACAAUUUUUCAUCCUAGGUUCCCGUCUCCUCACAUUGAACCCCUCAUCACAUUGAUCCCUAUGAAUAUUUUUCAAUUUCACAUCCAAUCUAUCCGACUUAUUUUUCAUAUUCUCAACCAUCAUCUCAAACCUCCGAAUCAUCAUUUCCGACAUUUUUUUGACACACUUUUUUCACUCUUUUUUCGACUCUUUUUUUUUCUUUUCUUUUUGGCUUUUUUUCUACUCUUUUUCUGACUCUUUUUUUACUUUUAUUUUGACUCUUUUUCUGAGUCUUUUUUUUAUACCAACUUUUUUCUUAAUGGAUCAAAGACUCAAAUAAUUGAAAAACUACAAGAACACAACGAACAAUGAAAAACACGGAAGACAAAAAGAUUCAACAAAACAAUAAAAAGGUGUAACCUCGAUCUUGGUGUCUUAUUUCUGAUACCAAAUUAUGCGAACCUGAUUAACGCGGUCGCUAUCGAACCCACAGGAAUUGACACCAGAUCCCCAAGAACUCCCAAAUACAACCAAGGUUUAGGAAUCGACCAAAAAGUGAACUAAGCAACCGAACAUAUAUGAAACGAACGACCUCUUAAUCACACAAUCUUGAAAUCUCCCUUAGAUUUGUGGAUUUGAAUUCCGAAAUAGCAAAUUAAGCAACCAAAGGUUUAUUAAACCAAUGACCUCUUAAUUAUACAAUUACGAAAAUUGCACCCGAUAUUUUGAAUGUCACAAGAUUUAUUAAACCUUGAUAAGUUCAAUAAAACCCGUAAAUGAACAAAGGUAAUUUUGAAGCAAAAGCUUUGGAAGAAAAUUCUUCAAUAAUUC
This 2828-nucleotide long non-coding RNA is filed under the name Olea europaea subsp. europaea. Lineage: Eukaryota; Viridiplantae; Streptophyta; Magnoliopsida; Lamiales; Oleaceae. The record is from RNAcentral.